RNAcentral lists this ribosomal RNA (371 nucleotides) under uncultured organism. RNAcentral describes it as "bacterial SSU rRNA". It matches the Rfam family "Bacterial small subunit ribosomal RNA", at positions 526 to 896 of the family's 1533-position model. The record is from RNAcentral.
CAGAGGUGGCAAGCGUUGUUCGGAAUUACUGGGCGUAAAGGGCGCGUAGGCGGUUGCCUAAGUCGGACGUGAAAUCCCCAAGCUUAACUUGGGAACUGCAUCCGAUACUGGGUAACUUGAGUUCGGGAGAGGAAUGUGGAAUUCCAGGUGUAGCGGUGAAAUGCGUAGAUAUCUGAGGAACACCGGUGGCGAAGGCGGCAUUCUGGACCGAAACUGACGCUGAGGCGCGAAAGCCAGGGGAGCAAACGGGAUUAGAUACCCCGGUAGUCCUGGCCCUAAACGAUGAGUGCUUGGUGUGGCGGGUAUCGAUCCCUGCCGUGCCGAAGCUAACGCAUUAAGCACUCCGCCUGGGGAGUACGGUCGCAAGGCUG